This 253-nucleotide ribosomal RNA is filed under the name uncultured bacterium. RNAcentral's name for it is "partial 16S ribosomal RNA". It matches the Rfam family "Bacterial small subunit ribosomal RNA", at positions 524 to 776 of the family's 1533-position model. The record is from RNAcentral.
UACGGAGGGUGCAAGCGUUAACCGGAUUUAUUGGGCUUAAAGGGUGCGUAGGCGGCCCUGUAAGUCAGAGGUGAAAUUCUUGAGCUUAACUGAAGGAUGGCCAUUGAUACUGUAGGGCUUGAGUACAGAUGAGGUAGGCGGAAUUGAUGGUGUAGCGGUGAAAUGCAUAGAUACCAUCAAGAACACCGAUUGCGAAGGCAGCUUACUGAGCUGUAACUGACGCUGAUGCACGAAAGCGUGGGGAUCGAACAGG